AGUGAACGCUGGCGGUAGGCCUAACACAUGCAAGUCGAACGGCAGCACAGUAAGAGCUUGCUCUUACGGGUGGCGGGUGGCGGACGGGUGAGGAAUACAUCGGAAUCUACUUUUUCGUGGGGGAUAACGUAGGGAAACUUACGCUAAUACCGCAUACGACCUACGGGUGAAAGCAGGGGAUCUUCGGACCUUGCGCGAUUGAAUGAGCCGAUGUCGGAUUAGCUAGAUGGCGGGGUAAAGGCCCACCAAGGCGACGAUCCGUAGCUGGUCUGAGAGGAUGAUCAGCCACACUGGAACUGAGACACGGUCCAGACUCCUACGGGAGGCAGCAGUGGGGAAUAUUGGACAAUGGGCGCAAGCCUGAUCCAGCCAUACCGCGUGGGUGAAGAAGGCCUUCGGGUUGUAAAGCCCUUUUGUUGGGAAAGAAAAGCAGCAGGUUAAUACCCCGCUGUUCUGACGGUACCCAAAGAAUAAGCACCGGCUAACUUCGUG
This 492-nucleotide ribosomal RNA is filed under the name uncultured bacterium. RNAcentral describes it as "partial 16S ribosomal RNA". It matches the Rfam family "Bacterial small subunit ribosomal RNA", at positions 29 to 507 of the family's 1533-position model. The record is from RNAcentral.